This 1157-nucleotide long non-coding RNA is filed under the name Apteryx rowi (Okarito brown kiwi). RNAcentral describes it as "lncRNA (ENSARWG00000003340.1)". Lineage: Eukaryota; Metazoa; Chordata; Aves; Apterygiformes; Apterygidae. The record is from RNAcentral.
AACGUUUUAAUGGUGAUAAAUUGUUAAAGUCUUUAGGGCAUUUGUGUUUUCCUCUUGAAUCAGAUAUAAUUUGUCACUUCUGAAGUUGAAGGAGUUUUGCCUCCCAAAACAUCUCAAUUUCUUAUUGAUUCUGUACUAUACUACAGCUCUGUUAACCUUUCUAGCCUGUGCUCCAUCGUUUGUCAUAACUUAUUUGUGGAAUAAUCUCAAGGAGUUCCUGUUAGCUUUGGUCUUGGUUUCCAUCUCUGGAGAGCUGGAGGGAACCAGGGUCUCUUCCAAAUCCCAAAAUGAGGUUGAGCAAGCAGGCACCAUCAAGGAAGAGAAGCAGACUCCAGCAGCUGCAGAACUCUCUUCUUCCUUAUUUCUUCUCUUCCUCAUAUGUUGCUGCAGUGGUUGGUGAAUAGUAGGGAAGCAAAUGUAUCCUUUACAUAAAAGCAGAAAUAGUUGGGAAUGUGGAAGUUCUUGUUGCAGAAGUCCAUCUUCUACAAUAACUAGCUUUGCAGCUGGCCUGAGUGGCUAACAGCAACCUUAACUCUCUGUCAUCUCAACAACAAGGAUUUUAGUAAGCUGAUCUGGUAUUGGGUUUGGGGGAAAACUUAGGAAAAAAAAAAGCAGUUGUGUGCGGGAAUUGCCAAUGUUUCCACCUGGAGAGCUGCUGUGAUUACACAUGAGCACAUAGGACUGAAGAUUUGGGGGAAGUCAGAGGAAUACAUCUUCAGAAUCUACUCACCCUGCAUUACAUACAGAAACUUUCUGUGGAGUCCCAGAAACUCGCAUUCUCCUCUGCGAAAACCAAAGCCAGCCAUUUGUCAACUGUAAUAACCAAUAAUACUUUCAAGAUUGCAAAAACUUUUCCUUAUAAACAGAAAGCAGUAUUUCUCUUCACUGGAUUCAAGGUCUUCUCUGCCAGCAAGUUUCAUGGAAUGACCGUUAGAUGGAAAAAUGUCAAAAAUAGAUUAUCUUCCUCAGUCAAAUGCUUAUUUGAGGAAGGUUUAAGUCCUUUAACACAGAGGAUGAAGUGAUGAUCCAGAUAUGAUAAUGAAAUGGCUGCUGCAGUGUCAUGUACAGAAACAGUGUACAUUAUGAAGGUAUUGUCUUAAUUAACAAAACAUAUUUGUUUUAAUAAACAGAAAGAAUAUAUACUUCCUUAAAAUGUC